RNAcentral lists this ribosomal RNA (258 nucleotides) under uncultured bacterium. RNAcentral's name for it is "partial 16S ribosomal RNA". It matches the Rfam family "Bacterial small subunit ribosomal RNA", at positions 15 to 263 of the family's 1533-position model. The record is from RNAcentral.
GAUCAUGGCUCAGGAUGAACGCUAGCUACAGGCUUAACACAUGCAAGUCGAGGGGCAGCAUUUUAGUUUGCUUGCAAACUAAAGAUGGCGACCGGCGCACGGGUGAGUAACACGUAUCCAACCUGCCGAUAACUCGGGGAUAACCCUUCGAAAGAAGGCCUAAUACCCGAUGGCAUAUCCCUUCCGCCUGGUGGGGAUAUUAAAGAACUUCGGUUAUCGAUGGGGAUGCGUUCCAUUAGCUUGUUGGCGGGUAACCGG